Molecule: non-coding RNA, 225 nt
Organism: Pelobates cultripes (western spadefoot toad)
Lineage: Eukaryota; Metazoa; Chordata; Amphibia; Anura; Pelobatidae
Source: the annotation of a GenBank genome assembly
UGAGCUUCCUGGUGUCUACCUUACGCCUUGUGCAAGGCCUGUUGUAAUUCAAGCAUCUUUUGCAGUUUGAAUACUCUGUGUACUAUAUGUUAAAUGUUUUUCUUUAAAAAGAAAACCAUUAUUAUUAUUAUACACAUAUUCUGUAGCACUUUGUAAUUAUAGAAUAGAGAUAGCUGACAACAAAGAAUUCACAUACAGAAUAUUAACAGAAACAAGAGGUUUUCA